CAGGCUAGAUAAGAUUAAGAAUGAAACUAUUCGAGAGAAGGUGGGGGUGGCCCCGGUGGACGAGAAGAUACGUGAAGCGCGACUGAGGUUGUUCGGGCAUGUGCGGAGAAGAAGUCCAGAUGCUCCGGUGAGGAGAUGAGAGCGGCUGGAGAUCGUUGGCGGUCGGCGCGGCAGAGGGAGACCCAAGAAGUAUUGGGGAGAGGUGAUUAGGCAGGACAUGGCUAGGAUGCAGGUUUCCGAGGACAUGACCCUUGAUAGGAAAGUAUGGAGGUCUAGAAUNNN
This 282-nucleotide long non-coding RNA is filed under the name Nicotiana benthamiana. Its description in RNAcentral is "long non-coding RNA (NBEN_LNC006380)". Lineage: Eukaryota; Viridiplantae; Streptophyta; Magnoliopsida; Solanales; Solanaceae. The record is from RNAcentral.